AGAGUUUGAUCAUGGCUCAGAACGAACGCUGGCGGCAGGCUUAACACAUGCAAGUCGAGCGGGGUCCUUCGGGGCUCAGCGGCGGACGGGUUAGUAACGCGUGGGAACGUGCCUUCUGCUCUGGAAUAGCCCUGGGAAACUGGGGGUAAUACCGGAUGUGCCCUGAGGGGGAAAGGUUUACCGGCAGGAGAUCGGCCCGCGUCUGAUUAGGUAGUUGGUGGGGUAACGGCCCACCAAGCCGACGAUCGGUAGCUGGUUUGAGAGGAUGAUCAGCAACACUGGGACUGAGACACGGCCCAGACUCCUACGGGAGGCAGCAGUGGGGAAUCUUAGACAAUGGGGGCAACCCUGAUCUAGCCAUGCCGCGUGGAUGAUGAAGGCCUUAGGGUCGUAAAGUCCUUUCGCCGGGGAAGAUAAUGACGGUACCCGGUAAAGAAGCCCCGGCUAACUCCGUGCCAGCAGCCGCGGUAAUACGGAGGGGGCUAGCGUUGUUCGGAAUGACUGGGCAUAAAGCGCGCGUAGGCGGAUCAUCAAGUCGGGGGUGAAAUCCCGGGGCUCAACCCCGGCACGGCCUUCGAGACUGGUGGUCUUGAGUUCGAGAGAGGUGAGUGGAAUUCCGAGUGUAGAGGUGAAAUUCGUAGAUAUUCGGAGGAACACCAGUGGCGAAGGCGGCUCACUGGCUCGACACUGACGCUGAGGU
This 700-nucleotide ribosomal RNA is filed under the name uncultured bacterium. RNAcentral describes it as "bacterial SSU rRNA". It matches the Rfam family "Bacterial small subunit ribosomal RNA", at positions 8 to 752 of the family's 1533-position model. The record is from RNAcentral.